RNAcentral lists this ribosomal RNA (467 nucleotides) under uncultured bacterium. RNAcentral describes it as "partial 16S ribosomal RNA". It matches the Rfam family "Bacterial small subunit ribosomal RNA", at positions 28 to 506 of the family's 1533-position model. The record is from RNAcentral.
GACGAACGCUGGCGGCGUGCUUAACACAUGCAAGUCGAACGGAAAGGCACUGCUUUUGUGGGGUGCUCGAGUGGCGAACGGGUGCGUAACAGGUGAGUAACCUGCCCUUGACUUUGGUAUAACUUCAGGAAACUGGGGCUAAUACCGGAUAGGAGCUCCUGCUCCGUGGUGGGGGUGGGAAAGUUUCGGCGGUUGGGGUUGGACUCGCGGCUUAUGAGCUUGUUGGUGGGGUAGUGGAUUACCAAGGCUUGGACGGGUAGCCGGCCUGAGAGGGUGACCGGCCACAUUGGGACUGAGAUACGGCCCAGACUCCUACGGGAGGCAGCAGUGGGGAAUAUUGCACAAUGGGCGGAAGGCUGAUGCAGCAACGCCGCGUGGGGGAGGACGGCCUUCGGGUUGUAAACGGCUUUCGCCUGUGACGAGGCGUGAGGGACGGUAAUGGGUAAAGAAGCACCGGCUAAUUACGU